This 241-nucleotide ribosomal RNA is filed under the name uncultured bacterium. RNAcentral's name for it is "partial 16S ribosomal RNA". It matches the Rfam family "Bacterial small subunit ribosomal RNA", at positions 524 to 767 of the family's 1533-position model. The record is from RNAcentral.
UACAGAGGGUGCAAGCGUUGUUCGGAAUUACUGGGCGUAAAGCGCGUGUAGGCGGCGUCGUUAGUCGGAUGUGAAAGCCCUCGGCUCAACCGAGGAAGUGCAUCCGAUACUGCGAUGCUUGAGUGUUGGAGGGGGUGGCGGAAUUCCCGGUGUAGAGGUGAAAUUCGUAGAUAUCGGGAGGAACACCUGUGGCGAAGGCGGCCACCUGGACAACAACUGACGCGAGACGCAAGCGUGGAGC